CGGCACCGGAAGACAAUCACCCGUAGAAGGAGAGAUCAACGGAGAGGGUGUAUCUUCAAGCCUUGCCUAGUUUUCGGGCCUUUCAUCAGUGCCAAUUUAAAUUUCCCAGCUUUCCAGUGGCCAGGUUAUCGGAAAAAAACUUGAGACCGGAAUUGCCCGUCUGCUCAGCCAAACAGGGUGAGAGGAUUCUAUGACAACUGGUACAGUAUUUCUUAAUACUUGCUGGGCAUGGUGGCGCACGCCUGUAAUCCCAGCACUAGGGAGGCGGAGGCAGGAGGACUGCCGCGAGUUGGAGGCUAGCCUGGGCUACAUAGUGAAUUCAGAGCCAGACUGAACUACAAAGCGAGACCCUGCCUCAAAAAAAAAAAAAAAAUCUCAAGGCUUUUCCAGAUAACAGAACCAGCCAGAGAUACACUAUUGAUCACUGUUGAGGUCUUCACCAACAGAACACUUCUAAGGUUUAUCUGCCUUCCAUCGCUCCUACGACCAGUUUAUUCUUUAUCAAGAAGACAAUCCUGGGCCGGGGAUUUAGCUCCGUGGUUUCGCUGCCUGCUGCGCAAGCUCAAGGACCAGAGUUCGAUCCCCGGUACCAAAAAAAGGAAGAAGACAAUCCAGUGUCCUCGGAGACAAGGAGUUAAUCAUGACCUCGCAAAAUUAUGUAAUUUUGGUUUUCGUUCUUAAAACUCUGUAUACCCUAACCAUGGCUCAGAUACUAUUGUCCCAAAAGGGCAAAACCUGGGACAGUUUCUUAAAUUCAAGUAGCUAGUUUGGAGAGAAGAGGUUUAUUGGGAAGAGGGAGCAUAAGACUUGUUGAAUUAUUUGCCUCACUUUCAGUUGUUUUAUUACAUCUUCCCAAAAUGACAAAAUUUGUCAUAAAAAUAAAUUCUACCCUUUGAUUUAGUAAUCUCAGUCCCAGAAAUUUAUCCUAAAGACAUAAUCUAAAAGAAAAAGUGCUAACACCUCAACUGACAACAGUGCCUAUUUGGAAUAUUGGAAAAACGUAGAAACUCCCCAGUCUGAUCUAUCAAAAUUCAACAGAUUAUGAACCGAACAGGAUUAUUACUUUAAAAACUUACUUGCAAGAAAAAAAUGUCACAUAAAGUUAAAUGAAAAAAAAAGCAGACUCCAAAUUGGAUGUUAGAAAUUCAGUAAUGUGAAAAUAUAUGACUAAGCAAAGAUGAAGAAGUAAUUUACUGUUACAAUGAGAU
RNAcentral lists this long non-coding RNA (1208 nucleotides) under Heterocephalus glaber (naked mole-rat). Its description in RNAcentral is "lncRNA (ENSHGLG00100048707.1)". The record is from RNAcentral. Lineage: Eukaryota; Metazoa; Chordata; Mammalia; Rodentia; Bathyergidae.